RNAcentral lists this long non-coding RNA (1198 nucleotides) under Homo sapiens (human). RNAcentral describes it as "PREDICTED lncRNA (TCONS_00183005)". The record is from RNAcentral. Lineage: Eukaryota; Metazoa; Chordata; Mammalia; Primates; Hominidae.
CUUACUGGUAGGAGUUUUUGUUGGCUUAGAACCCUCCGUCUCUUUUUCAUCUGUGUAUUUCAGUGCUCUUUUAGCUAGAGGCCUGGUGACUGGUCUAUCUGAAUUGCUCGUGGGAUUCUGAAUGUACUUGCAAGUGGGCAAAUAGAGGUCAUCGGAAUCAUCUCCUGAACCACUUGAUUCACAGAGGCUCACUUCAGACUCGUUGUUUUCUUCUCUAUUAGAGUCAUUGCUCACUUUUUGUCGGAAAGGAGUAAGAUGAACACCCUCUUCCAAAUUAAAAUUUAAACGUUCCUGGCUGAAUCAGCUUUGGUGAUAAGUUAACUUGGUCCUUGCUCCAUUGACAAGCAUUGUGUUGUACAUUUUCAGGGACUCCAGGAAGGCCGGGGGGAGGUGGGGCUGGCGGAAGUGGACGCGGCGACCCUCCUGCCGCAGGCGCGUCCAGAACGAUACCUUGGCCACUACUUCUGCAACAGCUAUCUUCCUCCUCCUCACAUUUCAAGGCUCUUCGAAGCUCUCCAGCCACGGCUAGCCCCGCGCACUGGGCCCUCCAGGACCGUACCACCGUCCGCCGUCGCCUGGAACUACCGCCGCCACAUUCGAAAUUUUCCGCCUCGCUCCUCCAUUGGUUGGCUGGGAGGCGGUCACGUGGCGCAGGAUGCACCCAACACCACCGUCGCAGGCAGAGUCCCGCCCCGCCAGGCGACGUCACGUGACGCACAUUCGCUCAAGUCCACAUCCGGGCAUCCACCUGGCCCUGGGGCGGAGCCUGCGGUCGGGUCUCGGCGACCCGCCGGGACUUUCUAAUCAGAGUCGUGGGGAUUUUACGGGUGGAGUUACUCCGAAACCUUUAAGGCCGAGUGUGAUAGAUAUUUGCAACCAUUCUUCCAAUCAAUUUUAGAAAAUUUCCACCACCUCAAAAAGAAAUCCUGAUGAAGAAACAUCCUGAGAAGGUUGACAUGCUGAAUGCCUUAAAGAACUUCAAUUGGGAUGCCAGAUGAAAGUGUAACUAGAAUUUCUAUGGCUUAAAUAACGAGAGCUGGAGUGCAGUAGCAUGAUCAUGGCUCACUGCUGCCUCGACCUCCCGGGCUCAGAGAUUCUCUUGCCUCAGCCUCCUGAGUAGCUGGGACCACAGAGAUGGGGUCUCUCUGUUGCCCAGGCUUGUCUGGAACACCUGGGCUCAAAUAAUCCUCCUGCCUUG